UUAACACCAAAAAAAACAUGAGGAUUACUUUAUGUCCUUUUGAGAGUCAUGCUCCAUAAAUCAGCCCACUUUGGCAAAUGAGAACCAAAAGAUUUAAAAAAGAUUUGAGUGUACCAUCAACUAUGAGUCAACUUUUUGGGGGGCCACCCAGUUUAGAGAGCACUUUUCAUCAGAUAAUUCAUAGGAAUUUCGGUGGGGUGUUCCCUUGGGUUUCUUGUGAAAUAGUUCCUGAAAUUGAUAGAACAAAGACACUCAUCUAGAUUGGUAUCUUCUUCACUCAUUCCUCUCACCCACUUUUGUGGUACUGGACGAAAGGAAUGAGAGUGAGACCCGUCAAUUUUAUGAGGGGAUUAUGAAAUCACAGCUAUUCACAAAUAACCAAACGGGCGAGAAGAAAGGGAAA
This is a non-coding RNA of Caenorhabditis elegans, 403 nucleotides long. NCBI's taxonomy places the organism in Eukaryota, Metazoa, Nematoda, Chromadorea, Rhabditida, Rhabditidae. The record is from Ensembl.